RNAcentral lists this transfer RNA (71 nucleotides) under Ovis aries (sheep). It matches the Rfam family "tRNA". Rfam says of the family: Transfer RNA (tRNA) molecules are approximately 80 nucleotides in length. Lineage: Eukaryota; Metazoa; Chordata; Mammalia; Artiodactyla; Bovidae. The record is from Rfam by way of RNAcentral.
UCCUUCAUAGCUCAUCAGUAGAGAAUCUGCCUGCAAUGCAGGAGACCCGGGUUUGAUCCCUGGCUUGGGAA